Molecule: long non-coding RNA, 401 nt
Organism: Dermacentor albipictus
Lineage: Eukaryota; Metazoa; Arthropoda; Arachnida; Ixodida; Ixodidae
Source: RefSeq, a predicted model, not a curated record
CGGCGCAUGUAGGAUGCGCAUCUGACCAAGCCAUCUCCUUUUCAAGGUGACAGAGACGUACGGAAUGUGGAAGUGUCCAGAGCCGAUAAAAAGCACCAGGAUCACGCUGUAAACAUCGAUCUGCCGCACCACCAACGGUCCCCCGGCCACCUCAAGACCAAGUACGUCGCGCAAAAGUUCAAGUGACCACGGCUCCAACAUCCCCGCAUCGUAACAAAGAACAAGUUUCAAAACCAUUUGCGAUGCAAGCCCAAAAGAAGGUGGAUAAAGAUAAGGUCAUGAAAACAACGCUGCGGUCUGGCGUGGUUUUGUUCGUCCACUCAUGCACGAGUUUUGCUAACGCAUUUUUUUAGUCUUGCAGUUCUGCAAGAACACCUCUAUAAAAUGUGUGCUGAGCUUGU